UGAAAAUAAACACAAAUUUAAUGUUUUCUUUCCAUUUCUGGAUUAAUGUGCACACUACAAUACUUAUUAGAACGAUUUAGAAGAACAGAUUUAAUUUGGGUUUGACCAAUCACAAAAAGUCUCAGUAAGUCUGAGCAGCUGUUAUAAAAUGAUGCACCAAGAUUCUUUAUUGUGUUCAGCUAUACUUCUCUUGGCUUUAUUAAUUUUGUGACCUUGAAUAAGUUACUAACUCUCUGAACUGGUUUCCUCAUCUUAACAUCAUGAUUUUACUUAAAUUCCACUAUCCCCUACAACCCUAUUUAAAAUCGCUACCCCAUCUCCAUUCCAGAAGCCCUCUUCUUCUUCAAUGCAUUAUUUUUCUCCAAAGUACUUAUCUCUUAUCUAACAAUAUGUACAUUUUACUUACUUGUUGUUUGUUGAGAACGUAAGUUCUAUGAAGGCAGGGAUUUUUUGUCUGUUUCAUUCACUGCUAUAUUCCCAACAGCGAACAACAUAGAGCAGGUGUUCAAUUAUAAUAGUAUUUGUUGAAAAAAUGAAUGACUAAAUCUAUUAAAUGAGGAUAGUAGUAUCUGCCACAUAGUAGCCCAGAUUGUGAGGAUUAACUGAGGUAGUGAAUAUAGUAUAUCGAGACUGGAUAUAAGAAUAAAUUAUGCCAUUAUUAUAAUUAAUAUUUUGAUGAAUAAUGAGAUGGACUUCGUUAAGUACGAUAUAAAAAGUUUCAUAUCUUAAUUAACCUAAACAAAAUAGCUCACUUUUAUUAAAUUUUAUUAAGAUUAUUGAAAGAAUCUAAGGAGCAGUGGAGAGAAAUGAAACACGGUCACACGAAAUUGUAAAAUCCUUCCCCCCAUCCCCUGAAGUAAGCUUUAUUGUUUUCAUUUGGUCUACUCCUUUUUAUUUUUAAAAUAUAUGUAACUGCUUUUCCUAUAGCGUGAUACAAAUAAAUUGCUUGAUGCUUACAUGGAUUUCUGCUAUCUGCCACCUGGAUGAGUAAAAUUCUAACAUAUUUCAGUUAUCUUUCUUCGUGCAACAGAUCUGCUUUUUUACUCUCAGUAUAUAUGGUGAUUUUCCAAGAACAAAAUCAAGGUAUGUACAUGAUUACAGUGCAUGCUAUAAAUGGCAUGAGUCCUGGUAUGCCACUCAGAUGGUCUCAUGACUAGUGUAUGACAAGUUAUGGGAGCCCCAGGUUUAUAUAUCCAAGAUGCUGGUGGUUAUUCUCAAGGAUCUGGUGUAUGGAAGCUACUGACUAUAUAUACUUUCCAAGAUGUUAUAAUUUAUUGAAUGCUUAAAAUGCAGGUACUAUAGGACAUGCAUUAUAUGUAUUUUUGCAUAAUAGUAUGCAAUACUUAUAAUAACCCUAGGUGAAUAUUCCUGUUUUAUAGUGUUGAAGAAAAUGAGGCUCAGAAUGGUUUAAGUUGCUUGCCUCAGAGUAAGUGGUGGAGCUGGAAUUCAAAUCUAGAAUUGCAUGACUAUACUGCCUCGUGUAGAAACAGUGAAUUAAGGGGUAAGGAGAGGAAACUGUGGCUGUAAAAAGUCGGGAAGGGGCUCUACAGGUAAAAUGUUCCUUUUAAACACAUUAUACCCAAUCUCUUCUUUCUAGACCCAUACUGCUUUUAGAAGUACCGUGUGUCUCCUUUUAGAAGUACGAUGUGUGUCCAAUUUAUGAUCCUUUCCAAGGUUCUGUGGCCUGGAUCAUUUGGCAUCUUAAUAUCUUCUGCUAUAAGCUUGUUUUUCGAACUUUUACUGCUCUAAUGAGGCUAUUAAGUACUCAGAACCCAUUUUCCUAGCUUCCAAAAUUUUGAAAUUUCUUUUCUCUUGUUCUUUUUCUAAAAUAUCCUAGUGGUUUAUACAUUAAAAUCUCUAAUUGUUGUUUUUACCUAUCAUUUUAUUGGAGUUUUGAGAGGAUACCAAAAUAAAUGUAUAUGUUUAAUCUGCAAGUUAAAAUCCAUGACCCAUAUUUAUCUGUAGGCAGACUGACAGAAAGCUUAUUGGCCUACUUUUUGUUAAAAAGCCAAAUCUGCUGUUUAAGAAUAGUUGGGUCUUUUACAAAAAGAUCAAGAGAGAGAAAAUUAAUUUAGUUAGGCAAAAAUAGAGGGUUUAGUGAGAAUGAUUAUGUGAUAUCUGUGUGAAAAUAAUCUGAGAACAAUUGUAAAAUAUUUCAGUUAAAUUUCAUCUUUAUUUUUUUUUCCUUUAUUUUAUUUUAUUUUUUUGGCUGCAUUGCGCAUGGCAUGUGGGAUCUAGUUUCUGGACCAGGAAUCAAACCGGCAGCCCCUGCAGUGGAAGUGGGGAGUCUUAACCACUGAAUCACCAGGGAAGUCCCAAAUUUAAUCUUUUAUUGAGCUGCUUCUACUCAACUGGCUUCAAAGAGGAAGUCAUUUUUCCCCAUGUAAUCAUGAAAAUACAAUAUAUACAUAAAAGUGGGAUUUGUUUGGAAGGAAAGGCAGUAAAGUGAAAAAAAAUCUCAAUUUUUUUGCUAUAACUUUCUGGGAUUUAGAUGUUGCCUCUUUUCUGAUAAGAAAGAAACAUGAUAUAAUCUAAUAAAGUAAUAGAUCCAGUGAUAUAGUGGAUUAUGUAACCCUAUAACCCUGCCACUAUUACUACUCAGAAAUGCUAGAUAAAAUAUAAGAAGCAAACUUUUAAAUGCAUAACUGAUAUUGGAAGAAAGUAAGAGUAAGGCCAAGUGCAGGAACCUAGGAAAGCAGUGAGAAGUUGCACUGAUGGUGCAGCUCCUCUGGAUUUGGGAAGGUGAUGAUGUUGGCCUCUGCCAUGCAGGCAGGGCUUAGGAUUUAGUGCUCACAGCGGGCUCACGUGAGGAAAGCAAUGAAACUACUCAAUUUCCAUCCUUCCUGUUAACUAGGCUCAGAGCUUUGGAGUCUUCCUUGACUCUCUCUCACCUCAUGGCCAAUCUGUCAGCAACUCUAAUUCGCUCCACCUUCAAAAUAUAUCCAGAAUCCAACCACUUCUCAUCACCUAUAUUGCAGUCAAUAUUCAUUUAGUGUUACCUACACCUUUACCACUAUCUAUAUAGUUCCUUUAGAAUUUCCUUUAGUGAUAAACUUCCAGAUAUCAUAAAGACAGCCAGCUAUCCACUGAAGACUUUGAGUUCCCCUUCCAUAAUGUAGAGUUGUUGCUGGCAAGAGACUGUCCAAUCACAGAUCACAUUUCUCAGGCCCUUCACCCCACCCCUUGCUGUGUCCUCUCUCUACCCCAUGUACCUAUGCAAAGCUAAAAGACUAAUUCCUACCAAUAGAUUGUGAGUAGAAAUGAUGGGUGUCACUUUUGGGCUGAACUGGCUCAAAGCAAAUGUGCUUCUUCCACUCCCUGUUUAACCAGCUGCCACCUGAAAUUGAAAGAUUCUGAGGGGCCAUAGGCAAUGACAGAGUCACAAAAUGGAAAAAACUUGGGUUUCUGGAUUACCCUGUGGAAGUCUGCUCACUGAAAGCCUGCCUUAUACUGUUAUACAACCGAGAAAUUAACCUCUGUUGAGUUAAAACACUGAAAACUUGAGAUUAUACAAACUGAUGUGACAUCUUUUUCCUGCUAUAAAAACAAUGUAGAGGAUUGCUUUGUUUAAAUUGCAGGUGCUACCUUGAUUCUUUGGUAUUGGUAUUUCUGAAGACUUGAGGGGACUUGCAGAUGUUCACCUCUGGCAGACAAGGAAGGAUAGGAGUCACUGAUAUUCUCUAAGUAAGUGCUUUUCAUUUUCCCCUCCUGCUCUUACCCUCAAAAUCCAUUCAAUGAUAACAAAACAAUCCCAACUAAAUGUCAUGAGACUAUCUUCCAAACCCUAUAGGGUUGUUAUAUGAUAUUUCAAAGCUUUAAGAAGGAAUUCUGACAAUUGUUUGUACUUAAUGUUGUAUCACCCGAAAAGCAGUGGUAAAAAUCAUGCAGUCUGGUUUUGGAAAGUUGGAAAAGUUGGAUGUUUUUCCAUAAUGGCAGAGAGGGGAAAAAAAAUUAGAGUAUAGUCAGUUAAAUGGCUAACAGUGUUUAUCAUGUAGAUGCUAACAAUUGUCUAGGCAUAAAUGUAGAGUGAAUUACAAUAUUAGGCCUUAUAAUCCUUGAUUCUAUAUAUGGUUACAGUUUGAGUUGUGUUAAAACAAGUUGGUACACUAAACAAAUGAAAUAUAUGCAUAAUGUGACUGGAGAAUAACUAUUAAUAACUAUAGUACAGCUGACCGAUUUUUCCAUUAAUAUUUUUUGUUAAAAUAUUUUUCCUAAAUUAUAUAUUUGUGAAUAAAAUUGAAGAUUAGUAUUAUUAACUUUUUAAAAUAAGAAAAAAACAUACUAUUUGGAUCAUAAAAUUACCAGAAUAAUGGUUUAGCCCUAGUCUGUCUCUGAGACUGCCUUUCACAGUCUUAUUCUAGUUGGAAGUUAGACACUGGGUGAUAGUCAGCAGUAGAUGAUAUCUAUUGAGAAGGUUAACUAGGCUUUAAGAAAUUUAUAAAAUCUCAUGUAUCUGUAUAAGUACAUACACAUAAGUACUCUAUCAUAUUUCAUAUUUGUUGGCAACUUUCAGGUAAAACGUUCUCUAAAAGUAGUAUAUCUUGAUUAAAAAAAUUUUUUUUCAUUUAACUCAUAAUUGAUUCAUAUUUUCUGCCAGAAGUGUCUUAUCUAUAAUUAUUUGAAAAUUAAAUACAUAUGCUAUUGAGAAGGUAUAUUAAAUAUUAGUAAAGCUUAAUUUUUCUUAUUUUUAAAGAACAAAAUAAAUAUGAGAGAUUCCAAAGAUGAUCUGGGUUAAUCAUCUUUGUAGAUCUUGCUUAAGAGUUAGGGGAAUUGUAGAAGCAGAAGACAGAUGAGGGAUGAAGGUAAGAAAUCUCUGAAGGUCACUAAUGGCUCUGCUAUAUAGACAGAUCUGCUUUUGGUUAGGGACAUUAUUACCAAUAAACUAUAAAACAGACCUCAUAAUUUCAAUAACUGAAAAAGUCAAAGCAGUAAAAGAAAUUACUUACA
Aethalodelphis obliquidens (Pacific white-sided dolphin) is the source of this 4947-nucleotide long non-coding RNA. RefSeq lists it as uncharacterized. The record is from RefSeq and is a predicted model, not a curated record. Lineage: Eukaryota; Metazoa; Chordata; Mammalia; Artiodactyla; Delphinidae. The transcript is spliced from 4 exons.